AAAAUGAUAUCAAUAGGCGGAUAUUACACCAUAUCUUUUCAUAUAAACUCUGAGCUUGUCAAGUAUUAACAAAUGGCCAAACAUACACGGCCAACGAUCGUCAGUUCUAAUUGAUCUCUGGUGAUAAGAAAUAAUGAACAGAAAACUAGAUUACCCAUAGCACAGUAGUGAUAGCUGUGUACAUAAGUAAGAGGUGGCCGGGGACGGAUGGCGGGGGCCAGUUGUAACAAUCACCUAACAGAUCCCUGGUUGGGGGGGGGGCACGGGUCUCAAGUGGAGGGUUCCAAGUUGUGACUGGAGAGAGGGAAAGUGUCUAAAACGGAGAGGGGACUUACCGGCGAACCUGGCACUGUGGGGG
Long non-coding RNA from Aplysia californica (California sea hare), 358 nucleotides. RefSeq lists it as uncharacterized. Lineage: Eukaryota; Metazoa; Mollusca; Gastropoda; Aplysiida; Aplysiidae. The transcript is spliced from 2 exons. The record is from RefSeq and is a predicted model, not a curated record.